Long non-coding RNA from Sorghum bicolor (sorghum), 462 nucleotides. RefSeq lists it as uncharacterized. NCBI's taxonomy places the organism in Eukaryota, Viridiplantae, Streptophyta, Magnoliopsida, Poales, Poaceae. The transcript is spliced from 2 exons. The record is from RefSeq and is a predicted model, not a curated record.
UCUAUUUUUCCCUGCUGUCUUGUCUUGUGUACUGAUGUUCGCUCUGUGUUCAGGAGUGUCAGAAAAUCAGAUGAAGAUAUUCCUGUUCCACCUCUUGUUAAAAGUGCUGCUAUGUGGGGAAGCUGCUAAGUUAUCAGCUGAGACUGAGACAGUUGGGAGAUGUAGUGGUGGUGCUGCCUGAGGUCCACCAUGCUCUCUUGAAGGUUUUUUUCACUGAUCUUGUAUAUGGAGUUGAAACUUUUGAUGAUCCAAUAGUUGAUUCAAAGGUAUAAUUUCUGUUCUCUAUGCAAACUUGUUUUCGUAGCUUCAUGAUAGCCUUUUCCAAUUACUACCUCGUAUAAAAAGCAAUCAUUUUAUCAAGGAAUUUUAGACUGGCGUGAAAAAUAAAAUCUAAGUUGUAAGAGUUCUAUGGGCUAUGCCACACACCAUUAAAUGAAUCAAGGGGCAUUUGGAAUUGUAGUA